UACGGAGGGUGCAAGCGUUAUCCGGAUUCACUGGGUUUAAGGGGUGCGUAGGUGGGCAAGUAAGUCAGUGGUGAAAUCUCCGGGCUUAACCCGGAAACUGCCAUUGAUACUAUUUGUCUUGAAUACUGUGGAGGUCAGCGGAAUAUGUCAUGUAGCGGUGAAAUGCUUAGAUAUGACAUAGAACACCAAUUGCGAAGGCAGCUUACUACGGGAACAUUGACACUGAGGCACGAAAGCGUGGGGAUCAAACAGG
This 253-nucleotide ribosomal RNA is filed under the name uncultured bacterium. Its description in RNAcentral is "partial 16S ribosomal RNA". It matches the Rfam family "Bacterial small subunit ribosomal RNA", at positions 524 to 776 of the family's 1533-position model. The record is from RNAcentral.